This is a long non-coding RNA of Papaver somniferum (opium poppy), 2634 nucleotides long. RefSeq lists it as uncharacterized. The record is from RefSeq and is a predicted model, not a curated record. The transcript is spliced from 9 exons. NCBI's taxonomy places the organism in Eukaryota, Viridiplantae, Streptophyta, Magnoliopsida, Ranunculales, Papaveraceae.
UAUAUUGAUUGAUGUCUCAAUUACAGGACUCGAGCAGUAUUUAAAGCUGCAUAUACUUGCAAAUAAAGAAAACUAGUUUGAAGUAAGCAAGGAAACCAAACUAUACUAAAUAUAAGAAAGCUAAAAUAAGUAAACUGUUGUAGAUAGGUGUUGGACCGUAACAUCAAAUCUGCAAUCUGAAAUCUCAUUAAAACCUUCGUUAAACCCAUCUUCAAGAAAUGUCGAUCUACAACCUAGAAACUUAAUCAUCCUAAACCCUAGAAAAUCAAUUUUUCCCUGAAAUCUAAAAUCAAAUCAUUCAACACUUGAUUCAGCAGCAGUUUUGUGGAUUAUCAUCAGGGUUGUGGGAUUUUUGUAUCUGAAGGUUCAUCGUAUUGAUCUUACUUUUCUUCUUGUUUGCUGCUUACGUAGGUGUUGACGUAUUGAGCUUGUUGGAUCUUCAUCGUAGAUAGGGGUUUGUUCACUGGAUAUAUUUGACACUUAAGCGACAUACUUGGCACAGGAAAUUGCUGAAGACAAGAGACGUUAUCAUUGUUUUAAUUGGUUAGAGGCGGUACUAGACAACCUCUAUAUAUGCCAUGGAGGAUCGCAAUGAACGGCUUCGAAUGCUCAAUUACACCCCCGUAGACACGCAGUGUCUUGCAGUGUUUUGGUUCCCUCUUGCAUCCCCCAAUACUGGAGUUGUUGUUGUACAGUAUCUUCCAGACAAAAAGGUUUGAUGUGUUCUAUUAUAAAUUAAAAACUAGGCGUCCAAGUGCUUAUUUUAUGUGUCCAUGUUUUCCUGAAAGAAGCUAGUUGGAAAUCAGGAAAAACAAAAAUUUGAUAUCUCCCCUAGACCAUUAAAUUAGUGAAAAAUGGGGGACGUGGCCUUUUGACUUAGGUAUGUAUACCCGAUGGUUAAGAGAAUUUAUGAUUUACUUUUGUAUGUUUUAAUAAUCUAUAAAUAAUUGGUUCAUGUGAUAAGCGUGUAGUCCGCUUUCUCUGAAUGGCUUAUGUAUGGAUCCUCAGGCAGCUUUUCGUAUUUUAGCAACUGCCGUGGUAGUUGAUUUAACGAUGCUGCGAAGAUAUUAAAGAAAUGAAUGCGGUCUGGAACUCCUUGAAAAAUAUCUUGGAAGACUGCUCCCAUUAAGGAUCUGUUCAAAUUAGAUCAUGAAAUUGACAGCAACGAUAAUUACAGUGCUUUAUAAUUUAGCCCAUAGUGUAGCAUCUCAACUUGCACAGCAAAGCGAGUUCAAAAUCAGAAAACCAUCUUCUUUCCAUUACGAUUUACUUCUUUUAGGAUUCCUGUGACGGGGAGACCUUUAUAUCAGCUGACCAAGUAAUGGGACAUGGCAAUUUGUCUCUCAAGAAUGAAUGGAUCAGAAAGUUUCCAUCAGAGGUAUUCGUGGACUGAAAUGUCCUAGUAUCAAUACUCGAUAAGGUUUUGGAUCCUUUGUCUCAGAAGCUACACCAGCAAAGUUAAAGCUCGGUGUAAGCUUCAGCUAUAUGAAAUGUAAAUUUCCGAUUUUGCAGGUUGUGAUUCAAACUCGUUCACUCUUGAUGCAUUAGCCUUUUUCAUCCUUCGUGUGCUUCAACGAGAAAAUCACCCUGAAUUCAUCUUUCACAUUGUCUUUUGCCCACUUCUACAAUGCGAGCUAUGCCCAGUACAUUCCCCUACCUUUCUAAAGACACCCUCUAUAUAUGUGUUCGACUGCUCAGCUGCAGGAAUGAUUUUCAAUGAGUUUAUAGAGGUUCAGAAAAUGUCUUUGUGGUCUUCUAUUCUAGAGAAAGAGCCAAGGCCAAACUCAUGAAGAUAUGUGAUGCAUUUGGAGCAAACCAUUACCCAUUGAAAUCAUAAUGUAAGCCCAGAUGUUGACAGAGGUGUGUGAAGUCCUGCAUUGAAUCAGUCAUGCAGAUCCCAAAGGAGGUUCAUUAACUGCCUUAAACUACACUCGGCUAGCUCAAUUCGGAUAAGUUCAUCUAUGAAGCAACGUCCAAUGCGCAACGCAACGCUGUUUUGCCAACGCUUAUUACCGUUGCACAAGUUCUGCGCAACGUUUAUAAACGUCACAAAAAGGCUGUUUUGGUGUAGUCUCUCCGACUUGAGGAUCGAGUCCAGCAGACACUAGCUACCAACCAACUCAUGAAAUUCCAAUUGUCGGGACAAGUAAACCCCGAUCAACCUUAUAUGUUGGCAGAGCAGCUUAACCAAGUAACGAAAAUCAGCACCAGCACAGGACACGGCAACAACAGCUGCAUACACCGGGUUCAGUUAACAAAGAAGCAACGUCCACAGCGGGCUGACAUCUGUCUCUUGAUGAUGAGACUGAUGUCAUCACCAAUGCUACUCCACUGCGAGUUGUUGGCCCUGGCCAACACUCGCCUUCAUUAUGAAUUAUCUAGGCUGGAAUUGUCAAGGUGCCCGCAAUGCCUUGACAAUUCAGAAAUUGCGUGAGUAUACACGCAAGUUUAGACCUUCAAUCUUGUUUUUAUCUGAAACAUUGUCAUCUGCACAUCACAUAUCUUUUUUGCAAUCUUCACUUGGUUAUGAUAAUAGUUUCGCAGUUCCUCGUAAUGGUCACAAAGGAGGUCUAAGUGUAUUGUGGAUUUCAAGUCUAAAGAUUAAUGUUUUAGUUGCUAACCAAAGUCUUAUUC